CCUACGGGAGGCAGCAGUGAGGAAUAUUGGUCAAUGGACGAGAGUCUGAACCAGCCAAGUAGCGUGAAGGAUGACUGCCCUAUGGGUUGUAAACUUCUUUUAUAUGGGAAUAAAAUGUUCCACGUGUGGGAUUUUGUAUGUACCAUAUGAAUAAGGAUCGGCUAACUCCGUGCCAGCAGCCGCGGUAAUACGGAGGAUUCGAGCGUUAUCCGGAUUUAUUGGGUUUAAAGGGAGCGUAGGUGGAUUGUUAAGUCAGUUGUGAAAGUUUGCGGCUCAACCGUAAAAUUGCAGUUGAAACUGGCAGUCUUGAGUACAGUAGAGGUGGGCGGAAUUCGUGGUGUAGCGGUGAAAUGCUUAUAUAUCACGAAGAACUCCGAUUGCGAAGGCAGUUCACUGGACUGCAACUGACACUGAGGCUCGAAAGUGUGGGUAUCAAACAGGAUUAGAUACCCCAGUAGUC
This 460-nucleotide ribosomal RNA is filed under the name uncultured bacterium. RNAcentral describes it as "partial 16S ribosomal RNA". It matches the Rfam family "Bacterial small subunit ribosomal RNA", at positions 338 to 795 of the family's 1533-position model. The record is from RNAcentral.